GCCAUACCACCCUGACCAUGUGGGAUCUUGCCUGAUCUCAGAAGCUAUGCAGGGUCAGGCCUGGUUAGUACUUGGAUGGGAGGUGAGUGUGAUGUACAAGUCUGCA
This 106-nucleotide ribosomal RNA is filed under the name Jaculus jaculus (lesser Egyptian jerboa). The record is from RNAcentral. Lineage: Eukaryota; Metazoa; Chordata; Mammalia; Rodentia; Dipodidae.